UAGGGGAGUACGUGAAACCGUUCAGGGGUAAACCUGCGAAACUCGAAUGAACGAACGGAGAGAUUCAUCGUCAUUCCGCGGCGUACGGACGCGCGCUUCGAUGUCGUCGGCCUCGGUCGGCGUGCACGACGCGCGUACGUCGACGUCCGCGGACGGCGUGCACUUCUCUCUUAGUAAAUACAUCGCGACCCGUUCGAUGUCGGUCUAAGCGCCGUUCGGGAGCCCCAUUGUGCCUUCACGGGUAUAGUGGGACCGCGACGGUGGCCGACCGGCCGUCGGACGGUAGUUCUGACGAAACGCGCACGCGUUUACAACGCGUCCGGCCCGACGCAAGUCAACGUCGUAUCUCACGUACCGCCUCAGCGCGGACGCGGGUGCGGCGCGUCUGCGUAUCGCCGCCGUGCAGUCUCGGACUGUGCGCGUCUCUGUCUGCGAUGAUUCAGUUUCGGGCACUCGCAGGACCCGUCUUGAAACACGGACCAAGGAGUCUAGCAUGUAUGCGAGUCAUUGAGACAAUAAAACUGAAAGGCGCAACGAAAGUGAAGGCGCGCGCUAGCCGCGCGCUCAGGGAGGAUGGAGCGUCGAUCUCGGUCGAUCUCUCGCACUCCCGAGGCGUCUCGUUUCCAAUCUGUGAAUGCAGGCGCGCUCUGAGCAUGAAUGCUGGGACCCGAAAGAUGGUGAACUAUGCCUGGU
This 693-nucleotide ribosomal RNA is filed under the name Calyptra thalictri (vampire moth). Its description in RNAcentral is "eukaryotic LSU rRNA". It matches the Rfam family "Eukaryotic large subunit ribosomal RNA", at positions 386 to 841 of the family's 3401-position model. The record is from RNAcentral. Lineage: Eukaryota; Metazoa; Arthropoda; Insecta; Lepidoptera; Erebidae.